CUCAAGAAGCAUAAUUUGCAAUCGUUUCUGCAGCACAGCCAAAAGUUUAAAAUAUUCAACAUACUGUUAUGCAAUGGCUCUCCAAAUCCGAGCGGGUGUCUCUCAACUGAAACGCUCCAUGUCAAACAAUUUUUUAUUUGCAGCCACCCGCCUCCCCUCUCCCACACACACACACACAGACUACUGCUGAAUGCGAGAUAUUUGCAUUUUGCUCAGAUACGUUUUUUUACAUUUCUUUUCUACAUAAAUGCAUUUCGUGUUUACAUUUUUCCAGUGACAAGUGUCUGAAUCACGCUGCAGCGCACUGGGGAUGACAUAUGGCGGCAGGGAGAGCCAGCGACACGCAGCCGACAAUCGAUUAAUCAGCGAAAAAUAAUAAGAAACAUGCUCACCCCCACCCGCCCCUUCUUGUAUGGCAUGGGAUCUUCGGGGAGAUGCAACUGCAACGGAGUCGGAAUCUGUGAAUGCGGAACUGAUGUCGCCUCGGAGCACUGGCACUCAAAAAAUGGGCAACUUCAACAUUUCGGGCAGUCAAAUAAAUAAAGCAACCAAAACAGAACAAGGGGAAGAGAAUAUUAUAAUUCUAAGCUGAAUAAAAAUUUGUGUUUGAGUUGAGUUUUCCUUUAUGGGCCCCACACACAC
Molecule: long non-coding RNA, 642 nt
Filed under: Drosophila guanche
Lineage: Eukaryota; Metazoa; Arthropoda; Insecta; Diptera; Drosophilidae
Source: RNAcentral